UCAGGAUUAACGCUGGCGGCAUGCCUAAUACAUGCAAGUCGAAUGGUUAGCUUGCUAACCAUGGCGAACGGGUGAGUAACACGUAGGUAACCUGUCUUCAAGACGAGGAUAACCAUUGGAAACGAUGGAUAAUACUGGAUAGGACAAAUCCCCGCAUGAGGAGAUGUUUAAAGGAGCAAUCCACUUGAUGAGGGGCCUGCGGUGCAUUAGCUAGUUGGUGAGGUAAAGGCCCACCAAGGCGAUGAUGCAUAGCCGGACUGAGAGGUUGAACGGCCACAAUGGAACUGAGAACGGUCCAUACUCCUACGGGAGGCAGCAGUAGGGAAUUUUCGGCAAUGGGCGGAAGCCUGAACCCGAGCAAUGCCGCGUGAACGAUGAAGUAUUUCGGUAUGUAAAGUUCUUUUAUUUGGGAAGAAAAAACAAAUUGACGGUACCAAAUGAAUAAGCUCCGGCUAACUACGUGCCAGCAGCCGC
Molecule: ribosomal RNA, 474 nt
Filed under: uncultured bacterium
Lineage: Bacteria
Description: bacterial SSU rRNA
Rfam family: Bacterial small subunit ribosomal RNA
Source: RNAcentral